AAUGAACGCUGGCGGCGCGCCUAAUACAUGCAAGUCGAGCGAGAAGACGUAGCAAUACGUUUGUAAAGCGGCGAACGGGUGAGGAAUACAUGGGUAACCUACCCUCGAGUGGGGAAGUAACUAGCCGAAAGGUUAGCUAAUACCGCGUACGCUUCUUGGACUUCGGUUCAGGGAGGAAAGCGAUGCCGAGGGUAUCGCGCUCUUGGAUGGGCUCAUGUCCUAUCAGCUUGUU
Molecule: ribosomal RNA, 232 nt
Filed under: uncultured bacterium
Lineage: Bacteria
Description: partial 16S ribosomal RNA
Rfam family: Bacterial small subunit ribosomal RNA
Source: RNAcentral